GACGAACGCUGGCGGCGUGCCUAAUACAUGCAAGUCGAACGCUGAAGGAGGAGCUUGCUUCUCUGGAUGAGUUGCGAACGGGUGAGUAACGCGUAGGUAACCUGCCUGGUAGCGGGGGAUAACUAUUGGAAACGAUAGCUAAUACCGCAUAAUAGUAGAUGUUGCAUGACAUUUGCUUAAAAGGUUCAAUUGCAUCACUACCAGAUGGACCUGCGUUGUAUUAGCUAGUUGGUGGGGUAACGGCUCACCAAGGCGACGAUACAUAGCCGACCUGAGAGGGUGAUCGGCCAAACUGGGACUGAGACACGGCCCAGACUCCUACGGGAGGCAGCAGUAGGGAAUCUUCGGCAAUGGACGGAAGUCUGACCGAGCAACGCCGCGUGAGUGAAGAAGGUUGUCGGAUCGUAAAGCUCUGUUGUAAGAGAAGAACGAGUGUGAGAGUGGAAAGUUCACACUGUGACGGUAUCUUACCAGAAAGGGACGGCUAACUACGUG
RNAcentral lists this ribosomal RNA (495 nucleotides) under uncultured bacterium. RNAcentral's name for it is "partial 16S ribosomal RNA". It matches the Rfam family "Bacterial small subunit ribosomal RNA", at positions 28 to 507 of the family's 1533-position model. The record is from RNAcentral.